UAAGCACAGCUUUAAAAAGUGACGGGUGUAAUAGGGGGGCUGUGAAAUCCUCUGAGGGCCUCACAGCGAAGACGACUUUUACGCAGAUUCCUGAACCGGGGAAAGUUGCUGCCACCGUCGUCGCAGAGCGUUCCAGGCAGAGGAGCGGCAAAUGCAAGGUGUUUAACCUCCUUGAAAAUCCUUCUAACCUAGCUCACCGAGCUGGACAGCGGCGAGCGAGGGCGGGAGGAUCCCAGCAAAUUGCAGAACUAACCCACCGUUGUGCUACCCACGCUGGCGCUCGGAGAAUCCUAAUAGAGAUUUAAAACACGAUGACUUGGAGGUUCUUAAAUCAUCCGCCUGCACCAGAUCAACGCCGGGUGGAUGAAAGCCAGGAGCCUGGACCAUUCAUUUUGAAUUCAAGGAGUUACCCUGCCCACGCCCGUCGUUUUCCUAACGCUUCUUCCAUUUUUCAGUAAUUCCUCUGGGAAAGAGAAGCUCAAUCUUUCCCCUGUCCUCCUGCUUCAAGCUCUUUUAUUUCUCUUUAUUUCUUAUCCUUUCUCCACCUCCCAUUCUCAUCGUUUCAUUAGAAUUGCUUUUACUGCGGGAUGCAAGCCUUAAAAUCCGAAAAGAAGUUAUUUAUUUGAAUAUGGCUUUAUUGUUGAAACUGCCAUCCCAUUUUUUUUUGUUUGUUUUGUUUUGUUUUUUGCUUUUCCUUUAAUCUCUUUCAAACAACAAAGUGUGUGUAUAUUUUUUUCUAUUUGUACUUGAGGCAAUUAAUUGGACAGAAUGAGACUUAUUCAUAUUAUGCCUUGCUUCCUAGGAAAAAGGAAUCUUACUGUGUCUUUUCAUAGUUUCAUUUCCUCUACUACUCCUAAAUAAGCUUCCAGACUCACCAGCUCCUAAAAACAAAAGGAAAUAAAGUUGAAUACCAGACAGAGCUAAUUGUUCUUGAACAAGCUUGUUAAAUCCUAAAAUUAGCUUUCUCUUCAGAGUUUUAUUCUAAAGCAAGGAUCUGAAUGUCUAUUCCAGAGAAAUCAAUGAUUCUAUAAUAUGAGCUUCUAAAGACCCUCUUUGAACUGUUGAACAAAUACUUUUUAUCUUUGGAGACAAGUACACACCA
RNAcentral lists this long non-coding RNA (1102 nucleotides) under Capra hircus (goat). RNAcentral's name for it is "lncRNA (ENSCHIG00010001968.1)". The record is from RNAcentral. Lineage: Eukaryota; Metazoa; Chordata; Mammalia; Artiodactyla; Bovidae.